RNAcentral lists this ribosomal RNA (301 nucleotides) under uncultured bacterium. RNAcentral's name for it is "partial 16S ribosomal RNA". It matches the Rfam family "Bacterial small subunit ribosomal RNA", at positions 509 to 807 of the family's 1533-position model. The record is from RNAcentral.
CAGUAGCCGCGGUAAAACAGAGGGUGCGAGCGUUAAUCGGAUUUACUGGGCGUAAAGCGUGCGUAGGCGGCUUCUUAAGUCGGAUGUGAAAUCCCUGAGCUUAACUUAGGAAUUGCAUUUGAUACUGGGAAGCUAGAGUAUGGGAGAGGAUGGUAGAAUUCCAGGUGUAGCGGUGAAAUGCGUAGAGAUCUGGAGGAAUACCGAUGGCGAAGGCAGCCAUCUGGCCUAAUACUGACGCUGAGGUACGAAAGCAUGGGGAGCAAACAGGAUUAGAUACCCGUGUAGUCCCUGUCUCUUAUAC